RNAcentral lists this unclassified non-coding RNA (329 nucleotides) under soil metagenome. Its description in RNAcentral is "partial contains 5.8S ribosomal RNA, internal transcribed spacer 2, and large subunit ribosomal RNA". The stretch from base 1 to 120 matches the Rfam family "5.8S ribosomal RNA", at positions 35 to 154 of the family's 154-position model. The record is from RNAcentral.
GAUGAAGAACGUAGCGAAAUGCGAUAAGUAAUGUGAAUUGCAGAAUUCAGUGAAUCAUCGAAUCUUUGAACGCACAUUGCGCCCCUUGGUAUUCCGAGGGGCAUGCCUGUUCGAGCGUCAUUAUAACCCCUCAAGCUCAGCUUGGUGUUGGGGCCUGCUGCACUGGCAGCCCUUAAAAUCAGUGGCGGCGCCAUCUGGCUCUAAGCGUAGUAAUUCUUCUCGCUAUGGAGUCCUGGUGGAUGCUUGCCAUCAACCCCCAAUUUUUCUAUGGUUGACCUCGGAUCAGGUAGGGAUCCCCGCUGAACUUAAGCAUAUCAAUAAGCGGAGGA